This 493-nucleotide ribosomal RNA is filed under the name Ligilactobacillus salivarius. Its description in RNAcentral is "bacterial SSU rRNA". It matches the Rfam family "Bacterial small subunit ribosomal RNA", at positions 152 to 632 of the family's 1533-position model. The record is from RNAcentral. Lineage: Bacteria; Bacillati; Bacillota; Bacilli; Lactobacillales; Lactobacillaceae.
UGGAAACAGUGCUAAUACCGUAUAUCUCUAAGGAUCGCAUGAUCCUUAGAUGAAAGAUGGUUCUGCUAUCGCUUUUAGAUGGACCCGCGGCGUAUUAACUAGUUGGUGGGGUAACGGCCUACCAAGGUGAUGAUACGUAGCCGAACUGAGAGGUUGAUCGGCCACAUUGGGACUGAGACACGGCCCAAACUCCUACGGGAGGCAGCAGUAGGGAAUCUUCCACAAUGGACGCAAGUCUGAUGGAGCAACGCCGCGUGAGUGAAGAAGGUCUUCGGAUCGUAAAACUCUGUUGUUAGAGAAGAACACGAGUGAGAGUAACUGUUCAUUCGAUGACGGUAUCUAACCAGCAAGUCACGGCUAACUACGUGCCAGCAGCCGCGGUAAUACGUAGGUGGCAAGCGUUGUCCGGAUUUAUUGGGCGUAAAGGGAACGCAGGCGGUCUUUUAAGUCUGAUGUGAAAGCCUUCGGCUUAACCGGAGUAGUGCAUUGGAAA